This is a long non-coding RNA of Capsicum annuum, 317 nucleotides long. RefSeq lists it as uncharacterized. NCBI's taxonomy places the organism in Eukaryota, Viridiplantae, Streptophyta, Magnoliopsida, Solanales, Solanaceae. The record is from RefSeq and is a predicted model, not a curated record. The transcript has 3 exons.
UUUUAGUCAAUUUAUGAAGGCUUGAACCUUAUUUUAAAGCUACAUUGCGAGUGCAUCUCUAUCAGCUCAUUGAUUCAGGGUUGAAUGCUCAGGCUUUCGAACGCACCUAGACCUCUCAGCGUACCCACGGUAGAAGCAGUGAUUAUCUCAUAAUGUAGCUACAAGUUGUAGUGUGUGCAGUCAAAAUCAGACAGUUGCAGAUUCCAGCCAGCAAAUGAUGAGUCCUCCUAUUUCGGGGACUUCAAUUAGAUUUAUUAUUGUUCUUUACUUUCUUAUUCUUAUAGAUUGAUUAGUGAUAGUUGGGGCCGUGUCCUUGA